RNAcentral lists this ribosomal RNA (253 nucleotides) under uncultured bacterium. Its description in RNAcentral is "partial 16S ribosomal RNA". It matches the Rfam family "Bacterial small subunit ribosomal RNA", at positions 524 to 776 of the family's 1533-position model. The record is from RNAcentral.
UACGUAGGGUGCAAGCGUUAAUCGGAAUUACUGGGCGUAAAGCGUGCGCAGGCGGUUGUGCAAGACCGAUGUGAAAUCCCCGGGCUUAACCUGGGAAUGGCAUUGGUGACUGCACGGCUAGAGUGUGUCAGAGGGGGGUAGAAUUCCACGUGUAGCAGUGAAAUGCGUAGAGAUGUGGAGGAAUACCGAUGGCGAAGGCAGCCCCCUGGGAUAACACUGACGCUCAUGCACGAAGGCGUGGGGAGCAAACAGG